Molecule: unclassified non-coding RNA, 191 nt
Filed under: Moritella viscosa
Lineage: Bacteria; Pseudomonadati; Pseudomonadota; Gammaproteobacteria; Alteromonadales; Moritellaceae
Description: putative sRNA
Source: RNAcentral
GAAUAAUAUUCAUAUUAAUCACUCUUGUUUCCUCACGCAGGUAUUAGCCUGAUCAGGUUCCACGGAUCCCAUUAUUAAAUGGUCUCAGCCCUAAAGCACUCCGACAAGAUGUAUCGGAGUAUAGACUGGUAUUGCGCUAAAAAACAAGCAAAAAAAAGCGCCCUAUAAAAGGGCGCCUUUACUAUCUAAUA